Long non-coding RNA from Drosophila willistoni, 1042 nucleotides. RefSeq lists it as uncharacterized. The record is from RefSeq and is a predicted model, not a curated record. NCBI's taxonomy places the organism in Eukaryota, Metazoa, Arthropoda, Insecta, Diptera, Drosophilidae. The transcript has 2 exons.
GAGUCAAGGUUUUUGUAUUUUAACUAAACAUAUUUGAAUAUAAUUACCAACUUGCAGCUUGCAGGACGAAUAAUAAUGGACGUUGAUUAUAAUAUUUCUAAAUACUGAACCAUCGACGAUCAUCACAUCCUGAACACGAAUCUACACAGGACUCAUCCACAAACACGUUAAAGAUACACAGAAAGCGAGUAGUAGGUUCGAUACACAAAUAUAUACGAUACAUUUGAUGUAUUCAUCAUGCUGAUACAAGUUGGUGCAUAAUACUUAUACACGUUGGAAAUACACAGAAGGCGAGUGUGAUGUAUUCAUCAUGCUAAUACAAAUUGGUGCAUAACACUUAUACACGUUGGAAAUACAGAGAAGGCGAGUGUGAUGUAAUCAUCAUGCUGAUACAAAUUGGUGCAUAACACUUAUACACGUUGAAAAUACACAUGCCAAGUGUGUAAUGCUAUACCGAAACUAAUGAAAUAUACUGAUGCAAGGUGGUGCAAAACACAUCCGAAACCGAAAUACAUAAGAAAAAAUUUGAUGUAUUUAUCAUACUGAUACAAAUUGGUGCAAAACACUUAUGAUCAUUGGAAAUACACAGAAGGCGAGUGUGAUGUAUUCAUCAUGCUGAUACAAGUUGGUGCAUAACACUUAUACACGUUGGAAAUACACAGAAGGCGAGUGUGAUGUAUUUAUCAUACUGAUACAAAUUGGUGCAUAACACUUAUUAUACGUUGGAAAUACACAGAAGGCGAGUAACACUUAUGUAACACGUGUAACACAUAAACACGUUGGAAGUACACGGAAGGCGGUUUCAAAGUUCUACACCGAAAUACAUAAGAAACUUUUAAUAUAUUCAUCAUGGUGAUGCAAAUUGGUGCAUAACACUUAUGAUCAUUGGAAAUACACAGAAGGCGAGUGUGAUGUAUUCAUCAUGCUGAUACAAAUUGGUGCGUAACACUUAAAUACUUCACAUUUGAAGUAUACAUCAUUCUGAUUCGAAUUGGCGCAUUUGUUACGAAACUAUAAUAAAUAUAUUUUGAUACUAACUUUA